RNAcentral lists this ribosomal RNA (1463 nucleotides) under uncultured Klebsiella sp. RNAcentral's name for it is "bacterial SSU rRNA". It matches the Rfam family "Bacterial small subunit ribosomal RNA". Lineage: Bacteria; Pseudomonadati; Pseudomonadota; Gammaproteobacteria; Enterobacterales; Enterobacteriaceae. The record is from RNAcentral.
AUUGAACGCUGGCGGCAGGCCUAACACAUGCAAGUCGAGCGGUAGCACAGAGAGCUUGCUCUCGGGUGACGAGCGGCGGACGGGUGAGUAAUGUCUGGGAAACUGCCUGAUGGAGGGGGAUAACUACUGGAAACGGUAGCUAAUACCGCAUAAUGUCGCAAGACCAAAGUGGGGGACCUUCGGGCCUCAUGCCAUCAGAUGUGCCCAGAUGGGAUUAGCUAGUAGGUGGGGUAAUGGCUCACCUAGGCGACGAUCCCUAGCUGGUCUGAGAGGAUGACCAGCCACACUGGAACUGAGACACGGUCCAGACUCCUACGGGAGGCAGCAGUGGGGAAUAUUGCACAAUGGGCGCAAGCCUGAUGCAGCCAUGCCGCGUGUGUGAAGAAGGCCUUCGGGUUGUAAAGCACUUUCAGCGGGGAGGAAGGCGAUAAGGUUAAUAACCUUGUCGAUUGACGUUACCCGCAGAAGAAGCACCGGCUAACUCCGUGCCAGCAGCCGCGGUAAUACGGAGGGUGCAAGCGUUAAUCGGAAUUACUGGGCGUAAAGCGCACGCAGGCGGUCUGUCAAGUCGGAUGUGAAAUCCCCGGGCUCAACCUGGGAACUGCAUUCGAAACUGGCAGGCUAGAGUCUUGUAGAGGGGGGUAGAAUUCCAGGUGUAGCGGUGAAAUGCGUAGAGAUCUGGAGGAAUACCGGUGGCGAAGGCGGCCCCCUGGACAAAGACUGACGCUCAGGUGCGAAAGCGUGGGGAGCAAACAGGAUUAGAUACCCUGGUAGUCCACGCCGUAAACGAUGUCGAUUUGGAGGUUGUGCCCUUGAGGCGUGGCUUCCGGAGCUAACGCGUUAAAUCGACCGCCUGGGGAGUACGGCCGCAAGGUUAAAACUCAAAUGAAUUGACGGGGGCCCGCACAAGCGGUGGAGCAUGUGGUUUAAUUCGAUGCAACGCGAAGAACCUUACCUGGUCUUGACAUCCACAGAACUUUCCAGAGAUGGAUUGGUGCCUUCGGGAACUGUGAGACAGGUGCUGCAUGGCUGUCGUCAGCUCGUGUUGUGAAAUGUUGGGUUAAGUCCCGCAACGAGCGCAACCCUUAUCCUUUGUUGCCAGCGGUCCGGCCGGGAACUCAAAGGAGACUGCCAGUGAUAAACUGGAGGAAGGUGGGGAUGACGUCAAGUCAUCAUGGCCCUUACGACCAGGGCUACACACGUGCUACAAUGGCAUAUACAAAGAGAAGCGACCUCGCGAGAGCAAGCGGACCUCAUAAAGUAUGUCGUAGUCCGGAUUGGAGUCUGCAACUCGACUCCAUGAAGUCGGAAUCGCUAAUAAUCGUAGAUCAGAAUGCUACGGUGAAUACGUUCCCGGGCCUUGUACACACCGCCCGUCACACCAUGGGAGUGGGUUGCAAAAGAAGUAGGUAGCUUAACCUUCGGGAGGGCGCUUACCACUUUGUGAUUCAUGACUGGGGUGA